This 1262-nucleotide ribosomal RNA is filed under the name Salmonella enterica. RNAcentral describes it as "partial 23S ribosomal RNA". It matches the Rfam family "Bacterial large subunit ribosomal RNA", at positions 1689 to 2925 of the family's 2925-position model. Lineage: Bacteria; Pseudomonadati; Pseudomonadota; Gammaproteobacteria; Enterobacterales; Enterobacteriaceae. The record is from RNAcentral.
CUUGAGAGAACUCGGGUGAAGGAACUAGGCAAAAUGGUGCCGUAACUUCGGGAGAAGGCACGCUGACACGUAGGUGAAGUGAUUUACUCAUGGAGCUGAAGUCAGUCGAAGAUACCAGCUGGCUGCAACUGUUUAUUAAAAACACAGCACUGUGCAAACACGAAAGUGGACGUAUACGGUGUGACGCCUGCCCGGUGCCGGAAGGUUAAUUGAUGGGGUCAGCGCAAGCGAAGCUCCUGAUCGAAGCCCCGGUAAACGGCGGCCGUAACUAUAACGGUCCUAAGGUAGCGAAAUUCCUUGUCGGGUAAGUUCCGACCUGCACGAAUGGCGUAAUGAUGGCCAGGCUGUCUCCACCCGAGACUCAGUGAAAUUGAACUCGCUGUGAAGAUGCAGUGUACCCGCGGCAAGACGGAAAGACCCCGUGAACCUUUACUAUAGCUUGACACUGAACAUUGAGCCUUGAUGUGUAGGAUAGGUGGGAGGCUUUGAAGUGUGGACGCCAGUCUGCAUGGAGCCGACCUUGAAAUACCACCCUUUAAUGUUUGAUGUUCUAACGUGGACCCGUAAUCCGGGUUGCGGACAGUGUCUGGUGGGUAGUUUGACUGGGGCGGUCUCCUCCUAAAGAGUAACGGAGGAGCACGAAGGUUGGCUAAUCCUGGUCGGACAUCAGGAGGUUAGUGCAAUGGCAUAAGCCAGCUUGACUGCGAGCGUGACGGCGCGAGCAGGUGCGAAAGCAGGUCAUAGUGAUCCGGUGGUUCUGAAUGGAAGGGCCAUCGCUCAACGGAUAAAAGGUACUCCGGGGAUAACAGGCUGAUACCGCCCAAGAGUUCAUAUCGACGGCGGUGUUUGGCACCUCGAUGUCGGCUCAUCACAUCCUGGGGCUGAAGUAGGUCCCAAGGGUAUGGCUGUUCGCCAUUUAAAGUGGUACGCGAGCUGGGUUUAGAACGUCGUGAGACAGUUCGGUCCCUAUCUGCCGUGGGCGCUGGAGAACUGAGGGGGGCUGCUCCUAGUACGAGAGGACCGGAGUGGACGCAUCACUGGUGUUCGGGUUGUCAUGCCAAUGGCACUGCCCGGUAGCUAAAUGCGGAAGAGAUAAGUGCUGAAAGCAUCUAAGCACGAAACUUGCCCCGAGAUGAGUUCUCCCUGAGACUUAGAGUCUCCUGAAGGAACGUUGAAGACGACGACGUUGAUAGGCCGGGUGUGUAAGCGCAGCGAUGCGUUGAGCUAACCGGUACUAAUGAACCGUGAGGCUUAACCUUACA